GUUGAGUCAGCCAAUGCAAUGCUUCCCAAUAAUUUAUUUACUCUGAAGAAAAGAAAGUGACCUGCAGCCAACUGAAUAAUGCAGGCUCUGUUCAUUAACCAAACACUUUUAUAGCAGGUUAGUUAUUCAGUAAACCUACAUCUAAUUAAUGAUCAUAUGAUGUGCUCCCUGUAUUAUCAACUUAUUGAGUGAAGUACAAAUCUUUGAUGAGGCUGUUCCAUAACAAAAGGAUAAGGUCGGCAAUAUAUGCAAUGGGGGUAGGGCAAAAACAGCCAGGAGAUAAGCACAGUUCAAAAAUAAGGACGAAGACAGUGAAGAUGAAGAAGCUACAAUGUGAAAGAAACAUUCUGCUUUAAAAAAGAAAGGACGACAAAGAGUUCGGACCACAUUCACUAAUCAACAGCUUGAGGAGUUAGAGAAGAUCUUCCAGAUAAACCAUUACCCAGAUAUUCAUACCCGAGACCAGCUGGCAUUCAAGACACAGUUAUCUGAAGAGAGGGUGCAGAUAUGGUUUCAAAAUCGACGUGCCAAAUGGAGAAAAUGCGAGAAACUGAAAAAUAUUAGUGUGCUACAGCAUGCCAAGUCUUGGGAUGUAUUUUCAUCACCACACACUAGUUACCUGGACGUCUCUUUCUGCCCCAAGUAUACCUCUGGGCUUUAUCACCCUACAUAUGCAUCAUUAUCAUUGCACCUUCCCCUUUAUCUCCACGGAUGCGGCAGUGGACAUGUUGAUAAGUUGUAUUCUCAUACUCUCUGCAGUUGUCUGCUUCAUGGAUCUUUACAAUCUUCUCCUAAUAUUGUUCUUGGCCAAAAGGAGAACUUUUUCAUUUAAUAUACUGUACUACAUUUGGAUCAGAUUGUCUUUCUGCCUCAGUAAAAGUGGUCAAAAACUUCAACCUUCCCCUUCAUAUACUGAAAAAUAAGUCAGGUUUCCAUAUUGAAUAUAUCAGAGGAAAACAAUUAAUUUGUAUUACCUGGUUUGAAUACACAUUUUCACUGUUCAUUUCCAUUUACUUUAUUCCUAUACAUAACUUUUUUAGAGGACCGGCUGAGAGAACCAUUCAGCUUUACAAAUAUGAAAGACUGGUAAUAAAAUACAAAACAUCAUUCAACAUUUAUCUGUCCUAUCCAUUUACUAAGCCUGAGUAAUCCAUCUCAGGGUCACAGGAAGC
Erpetoichthys calabaricus (reedfish) is the source of this 1172-nucleotide RNA transcript. It is a transcript of the gene named intestine-specific homeobox-like, with no coding region annotated. Lineage: Eukaryota; Metazoa; Chordata; Cladistia; Polypteriformes; Polypteridae. The transcript is spliced from 4 exons. The record is from RefSeq and is a predicted model, not a curated record.